This 405-nucleotide ribosomal RNA is filed under the name uncultured bacterium. Its description in RNAcentral is "bacterial SSU rRNA". It matches the Rfam family "Bacterial small subunit ribosomal RNA", at positions 28 to 432 of the family's 1533-position model. The record is from RNAcentral.
GAUGAACGCUAGCGGCAGGCUUAACACAUGCAAGUCGAGGGGUAUAGGCUUUCGGGCCUAGAGACCGGCGCACGGGUGCGUAACGCGUAUGCAAUCUGCCUUACACUAAGGGGAUAGCCCAGAGAAAUUUGGAUUAAUACCUUAUAGUAUAUUGAUGUGGCAUCACAUUAUUAUUAAAGAUUUAUCGGUGUAAGAUGAGCAUACGUCCCAUUAGCUAGUUGGUGUGGUAACGGCAUACCAAGGCGAUGAUGGGUAGGGGUCCUGAGAGGGAGAUCCCCCGACAUGGUACUGAGACACGGACCAGACUCCUACGGGGAGGCAGCAGUGAGGAAUAUUGGACAAUGGGCGCAAGCCUGAUCCAGCCAUGCCGCGUGCAGGAUGACGGUCCUAUGGAUUGUAAAACUG